Molecule: long non-coding RNA, 258 nt
Organism: Maniola jurtina (meadow brown)
Lineage: Eukaryota; Metazoa; Arthropoda; Insecta; Lepidoptera; Nymphalidae
Exons: 3
Source: RefSeq, a predicted model, not a curated record
UCACCGUAUCAACGGGCGCACGCGCGGUGCGGCACGCGCCGCAACGUUGUUAUGUCGCAGCGGCGCCGUAGCAGCAUUCGACGGUGGCGCUCCGACGUCGCAACGCAUUUACCCCUCCCCGCCUCGUCUCGGUGGUUGCAAGUCCGGUGCGGCGCCGGAGCGCAUCGUGUGACAUGCCAGAAAUAUUUCUAUGUAAGACUACGCAGCGACACCGCUCCGGCGCCGCACCGCCGCCGCAACGCAUCGUGUGCCCCCGCU